This 237-nucleotide long non-coding RNA is filed under the name Prunus persica (peach). RNAcentral describes it as "long non-coding RNA (PPER_LNC000832)". Lineage: Eukaryota; Viridiplantae; Streptophyta; Magnoliopsida; Rosales; Rosaceae. The record is from RNAcentral.
CACAAAGAAAAAAAGAGGCAGCAUAAUUCCAUCAAAUCCAAUUUUGAAACUUACAUAAUACAACAAGAGGCCACCCCAUAGUUACAUAAUACAAAAAGAAGCCACCUUAUAGUUCCAUUUUACAGGCUAUUUCCACUACAUUUUACAGUCACCAAAGUCAUAUUAAUGUGUCAAAAGUUUCCUGCUGUUGACAUAUUUGAUACUCUUCAAUUGCGGCGACCGCAACUUAUGAAAUUC